This 198-nucleotide unclassified non-coding RNA is filed under the name uncultured Orbiliaceae. RNAcentral's name for it is "sequence contains ITS1". Lineage: Eukaryota; Fungi; Ascomycota; Orbiliomycetes; Orbiliales. The record is from RNAcentral.
CCAAAAAGUGAGAAAUCGCUUUCAACCCGCUAGGUGGCCCCCCCAAGGGGUCACCGAACCGGCCAACCCUUUGUGAACCAAAAAACCUUUCGCUUCGGCAGCUGGGCCUUUGACCGCCUGUCAGCCUGCCGCUAGCACCAACCUUCAAAACCUGUUGUCAAACAUUGUCUGAUAACCAAAAUUUUCGAAUGAAAAUCA